This 1215-nucleotide unclassified non-coding RNA is filed under the name Hevea brasiliensis (rubber tree). Lineage: Eukaryota; Viridiplantae; Streptophyta; Magnoliopsida; Malpighiales; Euphorbiaceae. The record is from RNAcentral.
UUAGUACAAAGAAAAACGAGAAAUUGAGAAAACGAUAAAACUCGGUGUUAUUGAAAAAUCGGGAAUACAACCCGAAUAGGGGUAUUGUGGUCAUUUGACACCCAGAGUUGGCUUUUGACCUAAAUGUCAAUGAAAAAUAAAUGGUAUUACAUUUGGGAAAAUCAAAUGAAAAAUGGAAUUAAAGAUAAAAUGUAAAUUAAGAGAAAUUAAGGUUAAAAUUGCAAUUUUUGAAAUCUUAUAUUAUAAUAUCAUUAAUCUAAGUUUCGUGGAGCACUAAGUGGAUACAUUAAUACUUAAAAUGAGGGCAGAAUCUUCCACUCACUUCAUCAUCCUCACCAAGCUCUCCCAUGGCCAAAAAUUGUGUCCCAACUUUCCUCCAUGGAAACCACCCAUGCAAGCUUGAGAUCACCUUCAUUUCAAGCUAAAUUCUUGAACUUCCUUCAUUAAUCUUUGCCUACACACCUUGGGCAGCAAUAAGGGAGCAAGAAAGAUAAGUUUUGGUAGAGUUUUGAAGAUGUCCAAAAGAGGUAAGUGGUUAUUUUCAAUUCUUGUUUCAUUAAAAGUGUAAUUAAGGUUGUGGAUGGUUAAAUUAUGGAAGAAUUUUUGAGGUUUGAUGAAUUAUUGGUGAUGGAGCAUUUUGGCAGCCAUGGAACUUCAUCAUGUACAGCUUGUAUUUGCAUGUAAAUGGUUGUUGAGAUGUUAAAUUAAGUGUUUAAAUGUAUUGGAGUUAGUUUUCAUGUAUAAAGUUUGAUUUGUAAGCUUGAAAAGUAAAAAUGGAAGUUGAUGUGUAUGUGUAAUUUUUUGGCAGCCUCAAAAUGGAAAUUUGUAAGGUUCAAAUUCAUGAAAUGUUGUUGAAAUAUUGUACAAAAGAAUGGCAGCAUAUAUGUGUGUGGAAUAGUAGUGAUAGGUAUGUAAUUUGAUGAUGGAAGUUUGUGUGAUAAUUAGAAGUAUUUAUGUGUAUAUAUUAUUGGGAUUGAACUUGUGAAUUGUGAUUGCAUUUGGUGUAUUUUGGAAGUGGUUAUAUUCUGUCCAAGUUGACAUAUAAUGUAGAGAAUUGAAUGGUUUUGGUUAGUGCCAAAUGCAGAAUGGUAUGGAGAAGUGAGGAGAUAGUUGGUGAAUGUGUGUUGGUUUUGUGUUUGGAAAGCAUGUAGAAGGCAGUGUGCAAAUGGACCUAUAACCCUAAGUGUGUGACUCCAAUUGGUAUGAGGGCAAUUG